Molecule: ribosomal RNA, 487 nt
Filed under: uncultured bacterium
Lineage: Bacteria
Description: bacterial SSU rRNA
Rfam family: Bacterial small subunit ribosomal RNA
Source: RNAcentral
GAUAAACGCUGGCGGCAUGCUUAACACAUGCAAGUCGAUUCGAAAGUGGUAACAUGAGUAGGAUGGCGGACGGGUGAGUAACACGUGAACGAUCUACCCUUCAGACUGGGGUAACGAGCCGAAAGGUUCGCUAAUACCGGAUAUUAUUAAUUUGCAGCAUUGUAGAUUAAUGAAAGCUAUAUGCGCUGAAGGAGGAGUUCGCGUCCCAUUAGCUAGUUGGUGAGGUAACGGCCCACCAAGGCGACGAUGGGUAGCCGGCCUGAGAGGGCGUACGGCCACAAGGGAACUGAGACACGGUCCUUACUCCUACGGGAGGCAGCAGUGGGGAAUAUUGCACAAUGGGGGAAACCCUGAUGCAGCGAUGCCGCGUGAGUGAUGAAGGUCUUCGGAUCGUAAAGCUCUUUCGACGGGGAAGAAAAAAAUAGACGGUACCUGGAGAAGAAGCCACGGCUAAUCACGUGCCAGCAGCCGCGGUAAAGUCUGUACU